This is a non-coding RNA of Parasteatoda tepidariorum (common house spider), 352 nucleotides long. NCBI's taxonomy places the organism in Eukaryota, Metazoa, Arthropoda, Arachnida, Araneae, Theridiidae. The record is from RefSeq and is a predicted model, not a curated record.
CUUUUUUUAAGGUCGUUUCAAUGCUAAUGAUGAUGGCUCUGGUUUCAAAGCUGCACUGCUCUCUGGUCCUCCUGGUGUGGGCAAAACCACAACAGCUCAGUUGGUGUGCAAAGAAUCUGGUUAUGAUUUCUUUGAACUCAAUGCUUCGGAUACUCGAUCGAAGAAAACCUUGCAGCAAAUGGUUUCUCAGUUGUUAGGCAAUCAAACUUUGGCUGAUUGUUUUAAAGAUGAUGCUGGUAAAGUUUCAAGCAAUCAUGUAAUUAUUAUGGAUGAAGUCGAUGGGAUGGCUGGAAAUGAAGAUAGAGGCGGAAUGAUGGUACAUAAGUUUCUUUUUUUUAUUUAUUUAAUUGCA